GACGAACGCUGGCGGCGUGCCUGAUACAUGCAAGUAGAACGCACAGUUUAUACCGUAGCUUGCUACACCAUAGACUGUGAGUUGCGAACGGGUGAGUAACGCGUAGGUAACCUGCCUGGUAGCGGGGGAUAACUAUUGGAAACGAUAGCUAAUACCGCAUAAUAUUGAUUAUUGCAUGAUAAUUGAUUGAAAGAUGCUAUUGCAUCACUACCAGAUGGACCUGCGUUGUAUUAGCUAGUAGGUGAGGUAACGGCUCACCUAGGCGACGAUACAUAGCCGACCUGAGAGGGUGAUCGGCCACACUGGGACUGAGACACGGCCCAGACUCCUACGGGAGGCAGCAGUAGGGAAUCUUCGGCAAUGGACGAAAGUCUGACCGAGCAACGCCGCGUGAGUGAAGAAGGUUUUCGGAUCGUAAAGCUCUGUUGUAAGAGAAGAACGGGUGUGAGAGUGGAAAGUUCACACUGUGACGGUAUCUUACCAGAAAGGGACGGCUAACUACGUG
This 505-nucleotide ribosomal RNA is filed under the name uncultured bacterium. RNAcentral's name for it is "partial 16S ribosomal RNA". It matches the Rfam family "Bacterial small subunit ribosomal RNA", at positions 28 to 507 of the family's 1533-position model. The record is from RNAcentral.